CUGGGCUCGAACGGCCGGUCAACGCCGGUGGAAACAUCGGUACCCCGCAAGGGGGUCCGGUCGAGGUGCUGCAUGGCUGUCGUCAGCUCGUGUCGUGAGAUGUUGGGUUAAGUCCCGCAACGAGCGCAACCCUUGUCCUGUGUUGCCAUCAUUCAGUUGGGAACUCGCAGGAGACCGCCAGCGAUAAGCUGGAGGAAGGUGGGGAUGACGUCAAGUCCUCAUGGCCUUUAUGUCCAGGGCUACACACGUGCUACAAUGGACGGUACAAACCGCUGCAAACCCGCGAGGGGGAGCCAAUCGGAGAAAACCGUUCUCAGUUCGGAUUGCAGGCUGCAACUCGCCUGCAUGAAGCUGGAAUCGCUAGUAAUGGCAGAUCAGCACGCUGCCGUGAAUACGUUCCC
This 401-nucleotide ribosomal RNA is filed under the name uncultured soil bacterium. RNAcentral's name for it is "bacterial SSU rRNA". It matches the Rfam family "Bacterial small subunit ribosomal RNA", at positions 975 to 1375 of the family's 1533-position model. The record is from RNAcentral.